RNAcentral lists this long non-coding RNA (1036 nucleotides) under Equus caballus (horse). Its description in RNAcentral is "lncRNA (ENSECAG00000052065.1)". Lineage: Eukaryota; Metazoa; Chordata; Mammalia; Perissodactyla; Equidae. The record is from RNAcentral.
UGGAUGUAAAUCUUUCCAGACUCACAGGCCCCUCUGCUCCCAGAGAGCUUGAAACGUUUAAGGUCAUCCCUCUCCAAAGGCUUCACUGAAACCCUGGAAAUCUCUCCUUCAACCUUAAAAGUCUUGAGACGUUCUUCCUGUUGUCCAGCCUCAGUCACUACUUGCAGUAGCAGGAGGUGGCUCCCCCAGGGGGAAGUGCAUCAGUCACACUCAGCAGCCCUCUAAGUCCCCUCAGCCUCCUUCUAGACACUUCUGCCUCACGGAAUCAAAAGAAAGGCUGUCAGAUCUAUCAGAAAUCAGAUUGCUCCUAGAGCUGUGCUGGUGACCGUGUAAACGCUUGGAUCCUUGCCUGCAUUGUGGAGUUCACAGCCUACACUGGACAUGUGGAUGUUGAGUGAUAGAGGAUGGACAGCAAAAAAAACUCCAAACCCGCUGGACCAAGGCACCUGCCCACGAGUGGAUCCUAAAGGACUUGCAUCAGCCGUGAGUUUGGACAUGUGACCAUAUGUGGAUCUCAGACCUGCAAGCUAGACAGAAGAAAGAACUUCCCCGGGUGUGGUUGUCAAUGCAGUACCGUAAAAGUAUCAGAAGGCCUCUCUUCCUGGAAGGCGGUGAACCAGGAGGGGCCCCGUCUUGCAGCGCCAGGCAUGAGGAACUCAGUGUCUUCCUGCUCAGGUUUGAGGAGGGUGUUCUGUGCAAGUCAGCCUGUGACUUCUCGUCUCCUUUGCACCCCACACACCCACUUGCUCGGCUUUCUGAAGAACAGAGCCCCAUCCUGUGAUCACCACCCUCCACCAGGCACUCUGGGAGCCAGCAUGAUCCUCAGGCUUCACACGCAGUUUUCCCGGCUGAACCCCAGUCCAUGCUGCCACCGCCCGGCCGCCGAGCAAGAGGGAGACACUGGAGCAUCUUUGGGGCCACAGCUACAGCAGGAAGGGCUGGGGCUAGACAUUCGGAGCGCCUUCCAAGCGUGAGGGAGGAGGAGUGCUGCGGAGUGGAGCAGGAGGCCGAGGAAGAGAUGUGCGAGCCUACGUGC